AUCACUCUCCCUCACGUUUCCUAUCUCCCACACGUUUCCACUCCCUACACGUUUCCUCUCUCACUAAAGGCACUCACCUCACUAUACAGUACUCUCUCCCUCUCCUUCUUCCAAGGACACACACACGCAACUCUAUUCAUUUCUCUCUGCUGGAAAUCACCUUUCAUAACUCUCUCUCAGGCUCACACACUCAAUCCUCACAAAUAUCUCUUCUCUCUCUACACACUAAAAAAAACAGAAAAAGAAAACUAAAAAGGAGGACAAUAUAAAAUCCAUUUUCUCUCUCACCCUCCGAUCACUCUCAUUUUCUCAUACCUUUAUCAACAAAAUGAAGAAAAGGGUUAAAUAGUAAAUACAUCAAAAGAUCCUUUCCUAUUUUCCACCUUCUCUUCCAUAGAGAAAGAAAAAAACUGGAAAGAGAUUUAGAUGGAUGAAAAAAGACUAGUAAAGUUACUGUUAUUUCUUUCCAUCCUACUAAAUGCUGCGUAAAAACAGUGUCUAUCAGAUCCAAGCGACGAAACAUGUCUAAUAGAAUUAAGCAAAUCAUUACAAGACCCAAACAAAUCACUCUACAACUGGAACGAACAAACCUUCGCUAAACCCUGCAACGAAUCAACCUCAAACCGCCGGCGACUUUUCUGUCAACUGCCAGCACAACCGUAACACCACCUCUGCCGCAACAACAAUCACCAACAUCCGCCUAAAUCCGCCAACACCACCUUCAACCGCGAUUCACUCCACAACCUCCCGCCGAUGCCGACACAAUAACAAACAGAAACGGCUUACGAACAUAGUAACAAAAAAAUUGAAGCGAAGAAAUUGAACAAAAAUACAAGCGGAACUCAACUUGAUAGCCACUACAACAACAAGUUCCGCAUGCCGACGGAAUUUGACGAGAUCUACACCUCAUGGUUCAGCCAUGACCUUCCCAAUCACCGCCGCCGGCCUCCGCAUCAUGCUUCACCGUUGUUUAAAAUCUCAACUCGCGUUCCUCCGACCAGUAAUCUUCAUCAUUUACUUCAUACUCCGUUGAUACAUAUGGUUGAUGUUUGAGUUAUCUGCUGUUACGUUGUUUUGAAAAUAUUGUUUUUUUAAAAAAUGAUUUGUUUUAGGAAAGGGAACGAUUCAUGAGGUGAGGAAGUGAUUAUGAGAAAAUCACUUUUGAGUAAGAUAAUUUACUCUCUUUUUUUACUGUAUGGUUUUGAUUUCUUUUAUUUUGAUUAAUUAUUCUAUACAUAUUGGUCUUGUUUUUUAUGGUUGGAAAAGUUAACAUCUGUUCUUGUUUUUUAUUUUAUGAAAGGAUUUGUAUUAAGUGAAGGGGGGCGUCUCUCUCUCCUAAAUAUGUUUUUGUGUGUUACUCAUUUAAUUAAACUCAAACUAGUGUAAUUCUCAUAGAUAAAGGUUAGAAUUGGGUUGGGCUUGGUCCCUCUAUUAUUAUUAUUACACAUAUUUUAUUUCAGCAUAUUUGCA
This 1470-nucleotide long non-coding RNA is filed under the name Lathyrus oleraceus (garden pea). RNAcentral describes it as "Pisum sativum (pea) long non-coding RNA (PSAT_LNC038236)". Lineage: Eukaryota; Viridiplantae; Streptophyta; Magnoliopsida; Fabales; Fabaceae. The record is from RNAcentral.